RNAcentral lists this ribosomal RNA (579 nucleotides) under uncultured bacterium. RNAcentral describes it as "bacterial SSU rRNA". It matches the Rfam family "Bacterial small subunit ribosomal RNA", at positions 102 to 679 of the family's 1533-position model. The record is from RNAcentral.
ACGGGUGCGUAACGCGUAGGAAUCUGCCUUGAAGAGGGGGACGACCCGAGGAAACUCGGGCUAAUACCGCAUAAUAUCGAGAGAUUAAAGCUGGGUGGUAACACCUGGCGCUUCAAGAGGAGCCUGCGUCCGAUUAGCUAGUUGGUGGGGUAAAAGCCCACCAAGGCGAUGAUCGGUAGCUGGUCUGAGAGGAUGACCAGCCACACUGGGACUGAGACACGGCCCAGACUCCUACGGGAGGCAGCAGUGGGGAAUAUUGGACAAUGGGGGCAACCCUGAUCCAGCAAUGCCGCGUGUGUGAAGAAGGCCUUCGGGUUGUAAAGCACUUUAGUUGGGGAGGAAGAUAUGUAUUUUAAGAGAUAACAUAUUUGACUGUACCCAAAGAAUAAGCACCGGCUAACUCUGUGCCAGCAGCCGCGGUAAUACAGAGGGUGCGAGCGUUAAUCGGAAUUACUGGGCGUAAAGGGCGCGUAGGCGGAUAAUUAAGUUAGAUGUGAAAUCCCUGGGCUUAACCUAGGAACUGCAUCUAAUACUGGUUAUCUAGAGUGCGGUAGAGGAUAGUGGAAUUUCCGGUGUAGC